This 498-nucleotide ribosomal RNA is filed under the name Spathaspora sp. UFMG-CM-Y484. Its description in RNAcentral is "eukaryotic LSU rRNA". It matches the Rfam family "Eukaryotic large subunit ribosomal RNA", at positions 96 to 601 of the family's 3401-position model. Lineage: Eukaryota; Fungi; Ascomycota; Pichiomycetes; Serinales; Debaryomycetaceae. The record is from RNAcentral.
AAGCGGCAAAAGCUCAAAUUUGAAAUCUGGCGUCUUCGGCGUCCGAGUUGUAAUUUGAAGAAGGGUGCUUUGGGGUUGGCUCUUGUCUAUGUUCCUUGGAACAGGACGUCACAGAGGGUGAGAAUCCCGUGCGAUGAGAGUCCCAAUUCCGUGUAAAGCUCCUUCGAAGAGUCGAGUUGUUUGGGAAUGCAGCUCUAAGUGGGUGGUAAAUUCCAUCUAAAGCUAAAUAUUGGCGAGAGACCGAUAGCGAACAAGUACAGUGAUGGAAAGAUGAAAAGAACUUUGAAAAGAGAGUGAAAAAGUACGUGAAAUUGUUGAAAGGGAAGGGCUUGAGAUCAGACUUGGUAUUUUGUAUGUCUUGCUUUCGGGCGGGGCCUCUGCAGCUUACUGGGCCAGCAUCGGUUUGGGUGGCAGGACAAUUGCGGAGGAACGUGGCACUGCUUCGGUGGUGUGUUAUAGCCUCUAUCGAUACUGCCUGCCUAGACCGAGGACUGCGUC